AGUAAAUUGGCUGAAUUGUAAGCAAUAAAUUGUAAAUUUAUUUAUAAGAAUAAUCUUAUUUACUA
This is a transfer RNA of 65 nucleotides. It matches the Rfam family "tRNA". From Rfam's summary of the family: Transfer RNA (tRNA) molecules are approximately 80 nucleotides in length.